GUGCCAGCCGCUGCGGUAAUACGUAGGGUGCAAGCGUUAUCCGGAAUUAUUGGGCGUAAAGAGCUCGUAGGCGGCUUGUCGCGUCUGGUGUGAAAGUCCAUCGCUUAACGGUGGAUCUGCGCCGGGUACGGCAGGCUAGAGUGCGGUAGGGGAGAUUGGAAUUCCCGGUGUAACGGUGGAAUGUGUAGAUAUCGGGAAGAACACCAAUGGCGAAGGCAGAUCUCUGGGCCGUUACUGACGCUGAGGAGCGAAAGCAUGGGAGCGAACAGGAUUAGAUACCCUGGUAGUCCAUGCCGUAAACGGUGGAUGCUGGAUGGUGGGCCCAUUCCGACGGGUUCCGCGUCGGAGCUAACGCGUUAAGCACUCCCGCGU
RNAcentral lists this ribosomal RNA (372 nucleotides) under uncultured Bifidobacterium sp. Its description in RNAcentral is "bacterial SSU rRNA". It matches the Rfam family "Bacterial small subunit ribosomal RNA", at positions 505 to 874 of the family's 1533-position model. The record is from RNAcentral. Lineage: Bacteria; Bacillati; Actinomycetota; Actinomycetes; Bifidobacteriales; Bifidobacteriaceae.